CCUCGGGGGGCUGCAGUGGGGAAUAUUGGACAAUGGGCGAAAGCCUGAUCCAGCCAUGCCGCGUGUGUGAAGAAGGCCUUCGGGUUGUAAAGCACUUUCAGUGGGGAAGAAAGCCUUGGGGCUAAUACCCUCGAGGAAGGACAUCACCCACAGAAGAAGCACCGGCUAACUCCGUGCCAGCAGCCGCGGUAAUACGGAGGGUGCGAGCGUUAAUCGGAAUUACUGGGCGUAAAGCGCGCGUAGGCGGUCUGAUAAGCCGGUUGUGAAAGCCCCGGGCUCAACCUGGGAACGGCAUCCGGAACUGUCAGGCUAGAGUGCAGGAGAGGAAGGUAGAAUUCCCGGUGUAGCGGUGAAAUGCGUAGAGAUCGGGAGGAAUACCAGUGGCGAAGGCGGCCUUCUGGAGUGACACUGACGCUGAGGUGCGAAAGCGUGGGUAGCAAACAGGAUUAGAUACCCUAGUAGUC
This 464-nucleotide ribosomal RNA is filed under the name Vreelandella stevensii. Its description in RNAcentral is "partial 16S ribosomal RNA". It matches the Rfam family "Bacterial small subunit ribosomal RNA", at positions 339 to 795 of the family's 1533-position model. The record is from RNAcentral. Lineage: Bacteria; Pseudomonadati; Pseudomonadota; Gammaproteobacteria; Oceanospirillales; Halomonadaceae.